Molecule: ribosomal RNA, 492 nt
Filed under: uncultured bacterium
Lineage: Bacteria
Description: partial 16S ribosomal RNA
Rfam family: Bacterial small subunit ribosomal RNA
Source: RNAcentral
AGUGAACGCUGGCGGUAGGCCUAACACAUGCAAGUCGAACGGCAGCACAGUAAGAGCUUGCUCUUACGGGUGGCGAGUGGCGGACGGGUGAGGAAUACAUCGGAAUCUACUUUUUCGUGGGGGAUAACGUAGGGAAACUUACGCUAAUACCGCAUACGACCUACGGGUGAAAGCAGGGGAUCUUCGGACUUUGCGCGAUUGAAUGAGCCGAUGUCGGAUUAGCUAGUUGGCGGGGUAAAGGCCCACCAAGGCGACGAUCCGUAGCUGGUCUGAGAGGAUGAUCAGCCACACUGGAACUGAGACACGGUCCAGACUCCUACGGGAGGCAGCAGUGGGGAAUAUUGGACAAUGGACGAAAGCCUGAUCCAGCCAUACCGCGUGGGUGAAGAAGGCCUUCGGGUUGUAAAGCCCUUUUGUUGGGAAAGAAAAGCAGCAGGUUAAUACCCCGCUGUUAUGACGGUACCCAAAGAAUAAGCACCGGCUAACUUCGUG